AAAACGGCUCUUUUCAGAGCCACCAUAUAUUCAAGAAAGAUACAUAU
This is a non-coding RNA of Strongylocentrotus purpuratus (purple sea urchin), 47 nucleotides long. The record is from Rfam. NCBI's taxonomy places the organism in Eukaryota, Metazoa, Echinodermata, Echinoidea, Camarodonta, Strongylocentrotidae.